AAUAUUGGUGGGGGAAUCGGAAGCAUCUCAGACAUUUUAAAUGCAUGACUGCUGAUUGCUGAAAAUGAAAUAUGCAGUUAUGGAUCCAUUCUAUAGUUGGAAUAUGAGACUCCAUAUGUGUGUGUAUGUUUAUUCUUGCUUGAAUCUGGUGCUGAAGGUGUGAACAGGUGAGUCCUGCUUACAAGUUCGUCUAAAGAAUUUUCAUGUUUUAAAGCCAUUGAGACAUUUAUCCCUCCACCUUCUAUAUCUAUUUAUCGUCAAUUAGUGCAAUAGUGGUCGCUGGUGUAUUACCCAUUCCACACUAGCUUGUUUCCUUUUUGUUUUGGGGGUUAUUUGCAGUGGAAACUAUUGUUUGUGCUUGCCACUCAUUAAAUCAUCUUUGAAAAUCUAACGAGCGGAAGCAGAAUAGCUCAUUUUAUACCAUUGGUUGCAGUUUUGCAUCCACAUUGCCAAUUUGUAUUUUUUUAAGCACAAGCAAUAGUUAUGUGCAUCAAUUGCAUAUUCUUCUGAUAAUACUAAAUUCAAUAUGCGGAUCAAUCUUUAUAUAUGUAUAAGAUACCAAUUGGUGAUCCUUUGUACAUAGAAUAAUCAGGGUCCGAUCCACUUGGAUGUACCUCAAUUUGCUGUUAUAUGAUUUACUGUUUUAGGUUGUAGUGGUAGCAUAAAAAGUCAUAAUAGGGAAUAAUAAGUAACAGUUGACUCAGAUAGUGUUUGAGUAUGUUUCUCCUAAAGCUAAUUGAUUUUAUUAAGCAUUCAUAAGUUCUUAGAAAUUCAGAUAGCCAUUUUCUCUAGGUUGCAAUAUGUGUGGAUCAGUUGAUGCUCAAUAUUUUCUGGAUAUUACAUGAACUCUGAAAUACAAUUUUUUUCUCUCUUAGGUUUUAACCUUUGGGUGGGGGUAUUUUUUGUAACAUGGAAUAGUGAUGAAAAUCAUUUCUAGAAUUUAUAAUGAGCAGUUAUGUUCUAACUUUCUCUGGCUGUAGAAUUACUGGAGAUGGGUUAGUAGUUUUACCCUUUCAAUUAGCAUGAAUUUAUAUAGAAGGUUGGUUUUGAACUAAAUUGAUGCCCUCUUGUUCACUGAUUAUCUAUGAACUGAAAUGAUGUCCGGCUAUAGUACAUUGGUCUUUCAUAUGUUGGUUGUGCAUACAUGGCCUUAGCUUAUCCUUCUCUACUUUCAUUUCACUAAAAAUGGAAAUAUCGCCUGAAACUUUUAUGCAUGUGCUACUGCUACUACAUGACCGACUUGACCAAGCCCACUCUUCCAAGACUAUCAAUUUACCGCAACCUCCAAGUUACGGCGACGCAUGGGCGGGGCAGCCACCCCCUAGAUCCCGUUAGCACAAUGUCAUAAAAAUAUAUUUAUACUGAUUGUUGCGCAAAGUAGAAGGCUAUUGUUUGUAGUUAUUAGUUUAUUUCCUCUAUAUAGAAUGACACGGUUUAUUGUGUGUCCAAGAGGAAGGAAAAAUAGAUUUAUAGGUGUUAUGUGACUUACCUUUUAAAAGGAAUAACUUCAUGCUAUUGAGUCUUCACUAUUUGCUUCA
Aegilops tauschii subsp. strangulata is the source of this 1538-nucleotide long non-coding RNA. RefSeq lists it as uncharacterized. NCBI's taxonomy places the organism in Eukaryota, Viridiplantae, Streptophyta, Magnoliopsida, Poales, Poaceae. The record is from RefSeq and is a predicted model, not a curated record.